UACUUCUUAUUGUGUAGCUGUGUUUCUUGUAAAUGUCAUUUAUUAAUCUUUUUUUAAAUUAAAUGUUUUUUAGGAAAGUGAAAGUGAAGAAGAUGACCUUGAUGAAGUCGAUGAUGACAAUGAUGAUGAAAAUGACCAUGAACCAGAACCACCAGCAGAAAAGGAGCCAGCUGUUGAAAAGCCCUCUGAAGUUUUGCCGCCCAAAGAAGCCGACAGACAACUUUCGAAGAAGGAACUGAAGAAAAAGGAGCUUGCAGAACUUGAAGCUGUUCUUGCUGAAUUGGGUCUAAACGGCAAUAAUACCCAAGAAGACACCCGUGGUAGUGUUCUAGAGAAAGUUGAGAACCAAAACGGGGAGCACGAGAAAAAAGAAAAAAACGUGCAAGGCGGCGAGAGCAAAAGUGCAAAAAAGAAAAAGAAGAAAGAUAAAUCUUCAAAGGAAACCAAAGAACAACAAGACCUCACAAAUGAACCCGACCCCGUGAAUUCUGAAUCUACUGAAUCCGAGAAGGCUGAAAAUUUAUCUGCAAUCGAUGUCAAAGAGAAAAUGAAAAAGGUGGCUUCCAUGAAAAAGAAGAAAUCCAGCAAGGAAAUGGACGUCGCCGCCAAGGCUGCUGCUAGUGAGGCCGCGGCAAGAAAUGCACGACUUGCUGCAGCUAAAAAGAAGGAGAAGAGCCACUAUAACCAGCAGCCUGUUCGCUAAGUUUUUUCUUUACAGUUUAUGAUAUAUAUAUAUGUCUAUGCUGUAGAUUGCAUGUUUAAUAAAACCUAUGGUCGUCUUCGGUGACAUUUUGAGAAGUGUUCACAUAGCGAAAUUUUACAGUAUUUUUUAGUAGUUUUCUGGUUUUUACUUUCUAAAUUAUAGAAUUUAUAGUCCUGUUUGUGCGGUUGGUAGAAAGUGAAAAAGACCCUUUCAUGGAUGAAACUGUUUUAGAAUUCCAGUUUUUGUUUAUCUUUGGAUGAUGAUUUGUUUCCUCUUUCUUCUAUUUAUGUGAAUUGGGAAGUUUGUAA
This is a long non-coding RNA of Helianthus annuus (common sunflower), 1011 nucleotides long. RefSeq lists it as uncharacterized. The transcript is spliced from 2 exons. NCBI's taxonomy places the organism in Eukaryota, Viridiplantae, Streptophyta, Magnoliopsida, Asterales, Asteraceae. The record is from RefSeq and is a predicted model, not a curated record.